This is a non-coding RNA of Chelonoidis abingdonii (Abingdon island giant tortoise), 94 nucleotides long. NCBI's taxonomy places the organism in Eukaryota, Metazoa, Chordata, Testudines, Testudinidae. The record is from RefSeq and is a predicted model, not a curated record.
UCCUACCACACCAACUGGUUUCCAGCUGUGCCUUUGUAAGUGUUCACUGAGGCCUGGAGCCUUGGCAUGAGCUAGCACCUAGUCUGCCAGCAUC